Molecule: ribosomal RNA, 253 nt
Filed under: uncultured bacterium
Lineage: Bacteria
Description: partial 16S ribosomal RNA
Rfam family: Bacterial small subunit ribosomal RNA
Source: RNAcentral
UACGUAGGGGGCAAGCGUUGUCCGGAAUCAUUGGGCGUAAAGAGCGUGUAGGCGGCUCGAUAAGUCCGCUGUGAAAGUCCAGGGCUCAACCCUGGAAGGCCGGUGGAAACUGUCGGGCUAGAGUCCGGAAGAGGCGAGUGGAAUUCCUGGUGUAGCGGUGAAAUGCGCAGAUAUCAGGAGGAACACCGGUGGCGAAGGCGGCUUGCUGGGCCAGUUCUGACGCUGAGGAGCGAAAGCGUGGGGAGCGAACAGG